GAUGAACGCUGGCGGCGUGCCUAAUACAUGCAAGUCGAGCGAACGGACGAGAAGCUUGCUUCUCUGAUGUUAGCAGCGGACGGGUGAGUAACACGUGGAUAACCUACCUAUAAGACUGGGAUAACUUCGGGAAACCGGAGCUAAUACCGGAUGAUAUUUUGAACCGCAUGGUUCAAAAGUGAAAGACGGUCUUGCUGUCACUUAUAGAUGGAUCCGCGCUGCAUUAGCUAGUUGGUAAGGUAACGGCUUACCAAGGCAACGAUGCAUAGCCGACCUGAGAGGGUGAUCGGCCACACUGGAACUGAGUCACGGUCCAGACUCCUACGGGAGGCAGCAGUAGGGAAUCUUCCGCAAUGGGCGAAAGCCUGACGGAGCAACGCCGCGUGAGUGAUGAAGGUCUUCGGAUCGUAAAACUCUGUUAUUAGGGAAGAACAUAUGUGUAAGUAACUGUGCACAUCUUGACGGUACCUAAUCAGAAAGCCACGGCUAACUACGUG
This 497-nucleotide ribosomal RNA is filed under the name uncultured bacterium. RNAcentral's name for it is "partial 16S ribosomal RNA". It matches the Rfam family "Bacterial small subunit ribosomal RNA", at positions 28 to 507 of the family's 1533-position model. The record is from RNAcentral.